UCGCUCGGUCCACUUCCUGGCCGAACCUCUUAAUUUUUGCCCUUUAUUGAUAAUAUCACCCAAAGGCGAGGGCUAACUUAAACCUUAGCUAAAGACUUCCCUAGUCAUUAAUAGCAUAGAUCCUUUCAACAGAUACGCAGCAGAUUAUUCUCUAAUUAACCAUUGGUCUAAAACCAAUCUAACACUUGUCUGGUCGAAUUACCUUAGCCUUGGCCAGGAUACUCAACUACCAAUUAGCUUAAAGGUAAAUCCUAAACCCAAACCAAGCCAUACGAUUCUGAGGUUCCAUUCCCCUAAACCAUUCUAUCUAGAUCUACAUAAGUAAAUGCUAGAUCAUACCUUUCCCACAUCUAUGGAGCUUAUUAGCUCAUCGGUCCUCCAUUGACUUGAAUUGCUCUUGCUUUACAGCUGGACCACGAUCACUCAAUGAUCUUACUUAAGGUCCUUAUCUUGACUCCUGCAUCAAACAACUCCCCUAGGUACUUAGUCAUUCAACCAACCAUCCCCACAAACAUAAGUAACCUUUGAGAAGUCUUCGAAAGGAUAAGGAUAUGUAUUUGGCCUAUCUCGGCUCAAGCACAAUCCAAAAUCCUUUUGCCUUAUAGGCAAUAGUACCAAGUCCAUCUUCUGGACUGACAUAGCACAUGAGAUCCUAAGUCAAUCAACCAACCAUCCUCACAUGACUUGGAACUGAUGAGUCAUCAUCUGGCCUGACCGGCCUUGGGACUUAACCCAGACAACAUAUAUGACUUGUUCAUACCAACCGAUGCAUUCAUUAAUCAGGUUAGUACCGACACCUUGAACCAUCAUUCAGAGGUCAGGUCGUCCAUACUCAACCAUGAUCAGAUCUUACACGGCCUUCCUUGAACAAUCACACUUAGGCUCAGUAUUUAUGGUCUACGACACAUAGUACUAGCCACACACUUCGUCAUGACACUUAGCCAAUCUCGAAGCUAUCAACACCAAGGUUGAUAUCUAGAAGCAUCAACCAAUACUCUUACUCCUGCAACGUGAAUAUCCAUACUAGUGUUUGGCCAUCGAACCAUCGUCAUGAAACAUGAUCCGACCACUAGACUUGAUAAGCCAUCGUCCACUUAGCAUGUACUGAUAUAACCGGCCUUCCAUUGCCAUCAUGUGGGUCUACGCCCUACAUAAGGCAUAUGGCGCCUAUCCUACUCACCAACUCAAAGUUGAUUGUAAGAUAUCCCACUUAGCCUUUGCGGCUAGAACCAUCCAACCAUAGCUGGAUCGUCCAUAGUCUCGUCUAACCGUUUGGUUAAGAUCUAGGUGCGAUCAUGUGCGCGCCUAACUCGUCGGUUAUGGACCGCGACCUCAUUACUCAACCAGAACCACGGUUAUAACCAAUCCCAACACAUCAACAAGGCCAUGCCAAUGUACAGGAGGAGUAGAAGAAGAAAUAGAUGAAAAGAAUAAGAAGAAUAGGACACAAUCCAAACGCCCAUGGCUAGACCGGUUCAGACUGUCCGAUGGUCUUAGCCGAUGAGUCGGUGGUUACCCCACUGACCCUAUCUGACUAAACCACGGGGUUGGAGUCCUUCUCCAGACCUUUCUCUAUGCCUUGGGUAUCCAUAACCACACGGCCUCCUCUCUCCUAAACCGUUCUCCUUGCCGGAGAUACUAAAUUACCACAACCGAGCCUUUUCCGUCUUGGAUCCUCGGUUCUCAUUGGGGGAUCCCUUUGUUUAGGACGUGUGUCCUUUGUCUCAGACAGAAUGAGACUGAAUAAUACUGAAUGCCUUGAUCUCUGGUCGUGCAUCCUAUAUAUAGGCAACCAAAGGUCAUGUGUGAAGGGACACAUCCCUUCGAAGCAUCCUUUUGGGACAGAUCUGGGGCAUCGAUUACAAUCAACGGUCCAGAUCGUACCUGUUCGGAAAUGGAAGGUUCCAGACCUUAUAGGCACGUACAACCCAAGCGCAGACUUGAUACCCAAGCCCACGGCCUGUCCACAAGAGCCCAACGACUCAUGGACCACAUGGCCGGACCUCAUGGCCCGCCACUGACCCAGACCCAGACCAUCGGCCCGAAACCCAAACAGUCCGUCGAGCUGAGAUGAGCUGACUCCCAGCUGCCUCAACUGAGUGAGCUAGUAGUCCAGCUGGUUGAGCUGACUUAACUUGGAACGAGCUAGGCUGAGCUUGACCGAGCUAUGUCUAGCUGAUCGAGCUUCGCGUAAGCAUCGCCCAGCUUAUGUACAGCUUGUUCUAGCUGACUUCUUUCUCUUAUAAGGUUAAGUCUCAGCAUCCUGACGUCCUUAACCGUCUAUCUUGGCCAUGGAACGCUUGCCUUAAGGUCCUAAGACCGGCUGGUUCGUUUCCUCGAACCAUGGCCGUCCCGACGGUCCUUAUCCAGGAUCGCGAGUGUUACAAGUCUCCCCCACUUGAAAUGGAUUCGUCCUCGAAUCCGGUGGUGAUUAUAUCUUGUCCCAAGACAAAAUAUUCCAACCGACUUAUUCUAGUCUUGAUCAGGGAAUAGAACAAGUUUGAUUCAAAUCCACCAAUUGACCACUUCGAUGAUCAAGUUCCUUUGACCAUCUUUGUACAGGUCUCCCCCACUUAAUAAGUGGUCCUUUCUGGUUUCACUGAUGGCACCCUUACUUGUCUAAUUCGACCACAGUCAAGAGUCCAUCCGGCCGACUAGGCCGUGGUCGAAGCCUUACGUCGCUCGGUCCACUUCCUGGUCGAACCUCUUAAUUUUUGCCCUUUAUUUAUAAUAUCGCCUAAAGGAAAGGGCUAACUUAAACCUUAGCUAAAGACUUCCCUAGUCAUUAAUAGCAUAGAUCCUUUCAACAGAUACGCAGCGGAUUAUUCUCUAAUUAACCAUUGGUCUAAAACCAAUCUAACACUUGUCUUGUCGAAUCACCUUAGCCUUGGCCAGUGUACUCAACUACCAAUUAGCUUAAAGGUCAAUCCUAAACCCAAACCAAGCCAUACGAUUCUGAGGUUCCAUUCCCCUAAACCGUUCUAUCUAGAUCUACAUAAGUAAAUGCUAGAUCAUACCUUUGCCACAU
Molecule: long non-coding RNA, 3028 nt
Filed under: Brassica napus (rape)
Lineage: Eukaryota; Viridiplantae; Streptophyta; Magnoliopsida; Brassicales; Brassicaceae
Description: long non-coding RNA (BNAP_LNC024191)
Source: RNAcentral